RNAcentral lists this non-coding RNA (96 nucleotides) under Cylindrotheca closterium. Lineage: Eukaryota; Bacillariophyta; Bacillariophyceae; Bacillariales; Bacillariaceae. The record is from RNAcentral.
GAAAAAGUGGUGAAAUAGAAAAAGGUAAAGAUUUUAAAAUAUGAAUCAAAUUGGUUUGUGUCGUUGGAACCACCAACUGUUUUCCACAUUUAAUCU